GACGAACGCUGGCGGCGUGCUUAACACAUGCAAGUCGAACGGAAAGGCCCUGCUUUUGUGGUGUGCUCGAGUGGCGAACGGGUGAGUAACACGUGAGUAACCUGCCCUUGACUUUGGGAUAACUUCAGGAAACUGGGGCUAAUACCGUACAGGAGCUCCUGCUGCAUGGAGGGGGUUGGAAAGUCUCGGCGGUUGGGGAUGGAUUCGCGGCUUAUCGGCUUGUUGGUGGGGGUAGUGGCUUACCACGGCUUCGACGGGUAGUCGACAUGAGAGGGUGAUCGGCCACAUUGGGACUGAGAUACGGCGCAGACUGCUACGGGAGGCAGAAGUGGGGAAUAUUGCACAGUGGGCGGAAGCCUGAUGCAGCGACGCCGCGUGCGUGAUGACGGCCUUCGGGUUGUAAACCGCUUUCGCCUGUGACGAAGCGUGAGUGACGGUAAUGGGUAAAGAAGCACCGGCUAACUACGUG
This 469-nucleotide ribosomal RNA is filed under the name uncultured bacterium. RNAcentral's name for it is "partial 16S ribosomal RNA". It matches the Rfam family "Bacterial small subunit ribosomal RNA", at positions 28 to 507 of the family's 1533-position model. The record is from RNAcentral.